AAAGUUUAGGUAUUCUUACUUAAAAAUGAUUAUCGUAAAUUUUUCUAAGCAAUAAGUAUUUUAAGUAAUGGUUUGGAUUCAAAAUUCGAGGUGUUACACCUUUUGCCUUUUGGCAACCUUACCAAAUUACAAAUGUGAAUAUCAUGCAAGGAUUUCAUAUUAUCAUGCAUUGCAUCAAUCCACUUUUGACUUUCUUUACUCUCCAUAGCCUCUCGAAAACACUCAAGUUCUCCUUCAUCGGUUAAAGUCACAUACUCAUCAUAAAUUUAUCAUGUAGAUGAUUGUCUCUACCUCUUAGACCUCAUUAGUUGAGGUUGAGAUGAUUCAAAAGCAUGACUAAGAUUCUCAUCAUGUGACAACUCAUGAUCUUCAUAUGUUGGAAUAUUUACCUCAUCUACAAGCUGAUGAUCAUCAACACAAUAAUGUGGCUCAUCAUUCUAAAUAUUACCAUUAGUAGUAUCCAAAUCAAGAAUAUGUGACCGAACUCGAUCACCAUUAGCCAUAAUGUUAUCUCUCUCAGGUGUAGUCUUUUCCACCUUAUCAAUGUUUUCAAUAGUUUGGUCUUUCAUGAACACUAAAUCACAACUUGUGAUAGACUUUUUCUCUAUAAGAUCAUACAACUUGUUGCCAAAUUCAUUCUAACCAUAACCAAUGAAGAUACACUGACUUUGCAUCCAACUUAGAUCAUUCAUCCUUUAGAACAUGCACAAAAGUCUUGCAGCCAAAGCCUCCCAAAUGAUCAUACUCGACAUUCUUGCCAAACAAUACCUUGUAUGGCACCUCAAUAUUCAAAGUGACAGUACGAGUAAGAUUAAUAACAUGUCCCACCGUGUACAGUGCCUCAACCCAAUAACGUUUAGGCAAUUUACCUUUAGAUAACAUACACCUCACUCGCUCAACAAGUGUUUGACUCAUCCUCUCUUCUAAACCAUUCAAAUGAAGAGUUUUAGGAGGAGUCUUUUCAUGUGUUAUACCCUACUGUUUGCAAUAGACAUCAAUGGGUCCAUAAUGCUCACCACUAUUGUCAAUACAAACACGUUUCAGCUUCUUGUUUAUCUUCCUCUCAACCAAAGCAUGAAAUUGUUUGAACUUCUCCAACACUUGAUCUUUUGUCUUCAAAGCAUAAACCCAUAGUUUUCUAGAACAAUCAUCAAUAAAAGUAACAAAAUAAACUGCACUACUAUAAUAUUUUACCUUUAUAGGGCCACAUAUGUCAUCAUACAUCAAUUGAAGAAACUCGAACUUUCUAGAGGGAGGAUGCCUCUUGAAGGAUACCUUAAUUUUUAUCAUCGCUCGUUAAUCUUGAUUUACACAUUUAAGUGAAUCUAAAUUUUUGUUUUGAUAGUAAAAUUAAAGACACGCAUGCGAAUGAUUUGUUGAGAAAAUGAAGUCCAUAAGUUUUUCUAAAAUAUAAUUUUGAUAUACGAAUUUUUAUAAACUAUAGACUUUGAAUUUUUUUUAGUGAAUCUACUUUUCUAGUGUUUAUGUGGAUAUUUGUUAUCAUCAUAAAUAUUUGCAUGAGUUUUCUAUUUUGUUAUCAUUAUCUAAAAAUUAGAAAACUGAGAAGUAUAUUGGUUAUCAUCAUAAAUAUUCGUUGAAGUUACUUGAAGUUGAGAAGUAUACUUAUUGGAGUAUGACUCAUGGAGACUCCAACGUUGUGAGGGAUAUAUUUUGGACGCACCCAAAAUCCAUAACUUUGUUGAACAUAUUCCCUCUUUUAUUGAUCAUGGAUAGCACCUACAAAACCAACAAGUAUAGGUUACCAUUAUUUGAAAUUGUUGGUGCAACUUCAACUGGGUUGACAUUUAAUGUUGCAUUUGCUUAUAUGGAUUUUGAACAUCAAGACAACUUUUAUUGGGCAUUGGAGAAGUUAAAAGAGUUGUUUAUUUCAAACACCUCAUUUCCUUAGGUGAUCAUGACUAACAGAGAACUUGCUUUAAUGAAUGCAAUUGAAGUUGUAUUUCCAUCUUCAACAAAUUUACUUUGUCAACUUCAUAUUAACAAAAAUGUUGGAGUCAAAUGCAAACAAUAUAUAUUAAAGAAAGAUAUGCAAGAAUCCAUUCUGAAGUUGUGGAGGAAAAUUGUUUAUUGUUCUGAAGAGAAUGUGUACGAGGAACUUUUGCAAAUGUUUGAGCAAGUAUGUGUCAAUAAUAUUAUUUUCUUUGACUACGUCAGAGACACAUGGUUGAAUCCUCAUAAAGAGAGAUUUGUUGAAGCAUGAAUCAAUCGAGUAUUGCAUCUAGAAAAUAUUGCGACUAAUAGGGUUGAGUCUGCUCAUUGGUUAUUGAAGAAAUUUUUGGAACACAGUAAAGGAGAUUUCUAUAAGGCAUGGAAUGGUAUGACUGACAUGUUGAAGUUCCAAAUUAUUAAGAUAAAAUGUUCAUUUGAGAUAAGUAAGGGCCACAAAGAGCAUAUACACAACAAUCCAUUCUAUGAGAAAUUGACUUAGGUUGUAUCCAAGAAAGCCUUAGCUGAUAUUGUUCAUGAAUACAAGAGAGUCAACUAUGUCGGUAACGACAAAGCUGCAUUUUGUUGUAUACUUAGAAACACUCAUGGAUUACCUUGUGCAUGUGAGUUGGCACGACACAAGCUGGAAGGUGUUCCUAUCCGAUUAUAUGUUAUUCAUAUGCAUUGGAGGAAAUUAACCGUGAAUAGUGAUCAAGAGGAAGAAAAGUUGGCAAAUGAUUCAUAGUUGGACAUUACAUCAGAGAUUAAUAUAAUUUGGAAAACAUGGAAAACACUUAAUGUUGCUGGAAGGAGGGCAUUAAAGAGCAAGUUGCGUGAAAUAGCAUAUUUAGAGACAACAUCAACGUGUGCACCACUGAAUAAGAUCAAAACAAAAGGUGGUGUUAAGAGGAAAAAAGGCAAUAAGCUGAAGGGAUUUGAAGUAUAUCGUGACCCUUCAUACUUUGAGCAUGUUGUUACUCAAGUCUCGAAGCAAGCAUCCAAACAAGUCUCCUAACAAGCAUCCAAACAAGUCUCCCAGUAAGCACCUAUGACGAGUCAAGUUAUAAAUAUUUCGACGAGUUUCCUCCU
This is a non-coding RNA of Cicer arietinum (chickpea), 3036 nucleotides long. Lineage: Eukaryota; Viridiplantae; Streptophyta; Magnoliopsida; Fabales; Fabaceae. The record is from RefSeq and is a predicted model, not a curated record.